GAUGAACGCUGGCGGCGUGCCUAAUACAUGCAAGUAGAACGCUGAAGCUUGGUGCUUGCACCGAGCGGAUGAGUUGCGAACGGGUGAGUAACGCGUAGGUAACCUGCCUCUUAGCGGGGGAUAACUAUUGGAAACGAUAGCUAAUACCGCAUAAAAGUCGACAUUGCAUGAUGUUGAUUUGAAAGGUGCAAUUGCAUCACUAAGAGAUGGACCUGCGUUGUAUUAGCUAGUUGGUGAGGUAACGGCUCACCAAGGCGACGAUACAUAGCCGACCUGAGAGGGUGAUCGGCCACACUGGGACUGAGACACGGCCCAGACUCCUACGGGAGGCAGCAGUAGGGAAUCUUCGGCAAUGGGGGCAACCCUGACCGAGCAACGCCGCGUGAGUGAAGAAGGUUUUCGGAUCGUAAAGCUCUGUUGUAAGAGAAGAACGAGUGUGAGAGUGGAAAGUUCACACUGUGACGGUAACUUACCAGAAAGGGACGGCUAACUACGUGCCAGCAGCCGCGGUAAUACGUAGGUCCCGAGCGUUAUCCGGAUUUAUUGGGCGUAAAGCGAGCGCAGGCGGUUAGAUAAGUCUGAAGUUAAAGGCUGUGGCUUAACCAUAGUACGCUUUGGAAACUGUUUAACUUGAGUGCAGAAGGGGAGAGUGGAAUUCCAUGUGUAGCGGUGAAAUGCGUAGAUAUAUGGAGGAACACCGGUGGCGAAAGCGGCUCUCUGGUCUGUAACUGACGCUGAGGCUCGAAAGCGUGGGGAGCAAACAGG
This 765-nucleotide ribosomal RNA is filed under the name uncultured Streptococcus sp. RNAcentral's name for it is "bacterial SSU rRNA". It matches the Rfam family "Bacterial small subunit ribosomal RNA", at positions 28 to 776 of the family's 1533-position model. Lineage: Bacteria; Bacillati; Bacillota; Bacilli; Lactobacillales; Streptococcaceae. The record is from RNAcentral.